GGCAAUCUUGAUUGGUAUAAAAAAGCAGUACUACAUGUUAAAAAGUAUCAUCUGUUUAUAUUCAUAAUACUUCUCCUUCUUAAAUGACCACUCACUAAGAAUAUGCCUCAUUAAAACCGGAUUGCUUAAUUAAAACUUUGCAAAGUAAAAUCCUUAUGGAAAAAAGUACAAUUAGCACAUAUUCUUCAAAAAAUGUACCCCCCUCAUGAGUACGUGGGGUCUUAAUUUUUUGAUGAUUUUUGAGGUUUUGAUUCUUUGUUUGAUCAGUGGGUGAAGGGAGAGCUUGAUGAUCUGGGUCUUGAUUAGUGGCUGAUGAUGGUGCACGGUCUGCAGUGGCUGUGCUUGAUGAUGGUGGAUUGAUCGUUGACGGUGGCUUGGGUUGUGUGUGAGAGGAUUUUCAGAGAAGGGAAAAGUGUGAAAGGUGUAGGAUAUAAUAAAAAAUUGUAAAAAAAUGAAUGUUUUAUUGAAUAAAUAUGUAGAAUAGACUAACUGACACGUGCGUUUUGUAAAAAUAGGCUCGCUUGUAUUCCUAUACGAUCCUAACGAUAUCAAAAUCCACCACCUUAAUUUGCCGCUUGCCACCUUCUCUCCGCUUGCCGCCACCACCUGAGCCAUGAACCACCUCCUCAACUCCAACAGACCCACCCCUAAACCAUGGCCCCAUAAGAAACCCUCUUACAGAUCCCCUCUCCUCUCUCUAUCUCUCCUCACUCUUCUCUUCUCUCUCCUCUUCUUUCUCUCCUACUAUUCCCUCACCCCCAAUUCCCACAUCUCACCCCCUACAAAAACCCUAAAUUCCCAAUUCCCCCAAUGCCCCAUUUCCCAAUUACCCCAAAAAUUCCUCUGGUACGCUCCCCACAGUGGGUUCAGCAACCAGGUUUCCGAGUUCAAGAAUGCUAUCUUAAUGGCCGCCAUUCUCAACCGGACCUUGAUUGUUCCUCCGGUUCUCGAUCACCACGCUGUUGCUCUCGGAAGCUGCCCCAAGUUCCGGGUUUCCGAUCCGAAUAAAAUUCGGGUUGACGUUUGGAACCAUGUGGUUGAGCUCCUCAGGAUUGGCAGGUAUGUCUCGAUGGCUGACAUUGUUGAUAUUUCGUCGUUAGUGUCUUCAUCUGUUAUUCAAACGAUAGAUUUCAGGGUUUUUGCAUCCCUAUGGUGUGGGGUGAAAGAUUUCGAUUGUUUCAUUGAAUCAAAUGAGCAGUUGUUUUUGUUUGAUAGCCUUAAGCAAUGUGGAUCUCUACUAUCUGGGCUAAAUGGUAAUGUUGAUAAAUGUGUACAUGCAGUAGGUGAAGAUUGUAGGACUACAGUUUGGACUUACCAAAAUGGUGAAAAGGAUGGGGUAUUAGAUUCAUUCCAACCUGAUGAACAGCUUAAGAGGAAGAAGAAAAUUUCAUAUGUUAGGAGACGAAGAGACAUAUAUCAGACUCUUGGACCCAGUUCUGCAGCUGAAUCAGCCACUCUGCUGGCAUUUGGAAGUCUUUUCACCUCUCCAUAUAGAGGUUCAGAGCUGUACAUCGAUAUUCAUGAAGCUCCAAGAGAUCAACGGAUACAGUCUUUGAUUAAAAAGAUUGAAUUUCUUCCUUUUGUUCCUGAAAUUUUGAGUGCAGGAAAGGAGUUCGCUGAUAAGAACAUAAAUGCCCAUUUUCUUUGUGCACAGCUCAGAUUGUUAGAUGGGCAGUUCAAGAAUCAUUGGAAAGCUACUUUUCUGAGUUUAAAACAGAAAGUAGAAUCUUUGGGACAGAGUCCACUCCCUAUUCAUAUUUUUGUGAUGACUGAUCUUCCCGAGGGUAAUUGGACUGGAAGUUAUUUGGGGGAUUUGGCUAGAGAUUCACAUCAUUUUAAGCUGCAUUUUCUGAGAGAAGAAGAUGAGUUAGUGAUAAAAACAGCCAAAAAGGUUGUGGCUGCUAAGCAUAGCCUGAGGUCUGCAUUUGUUCCAGAGAGAAUGGGUGGUCUAAAAAAACAUUGCCCUUCUGAGAGAUUACCUGAUGUACUUCUAUUCAUAGAGGAAGCUGUUUGCAGCUGUGCUUCACUUGGUUUUGUUGGGACUGCGGGGUCUACUAUUGCAGAGAGUGUAGAGCUUAUGAGGAAAUUUGGCACAUGUGCAAGCCAAAGUCUGACUGCAUUGUGACAGGUGGUAUUAGUUUAUGAGAAGAAAUUUCUCUGGUUAAGGGUUGUAAAAGUAUGUUACAAGCCUUCCACUUGAAUUGUCUUGCAGUAGAAGAUGAUGGGACCAGCAGUCUUCGGAUAUUUUUUAUGCUUUCUCGCGAUUUUUGUGAUCCAGCCAGCAUUUCAUCCAAAUCUUCUGUUUGUUGAAGGCACAAAAAACUGUUAAAAAGAAGGAAUUUCCUCAUGUCAGGAUUCAACUCCACUGAGGUUGCAGUUUAUUGAAGGUCAAUGUAAGUAUCUUAAAUUCUCAAGGAGAAGAAAGAGGAUGCUGCUCAGAUUUGAAAGUUUGUUUGAUAUAACUGACUCAAUUAAUUAAUUAAUUUAGAUGGAGCAUUUAUCAUUGAGGACUGACUUCUCUUAGCACUUAAUUGUGCCUUUUUGUUUUGUAGAAUUAUUUUUUUUUAGUAGUUUUGUAGAAUUAUCUGAAAUUGCACAUUUUUUUUCCCCAAGAAGAACAUGGGGCGAUUCCGAGUGUUCAUUCAUUGUAAAAAAGAGUUGUUUUGUGGGCCGUUUUUACACAAAAACCUAUACCAACUGAGCAACAAUUGGAGCAAUCCAUCUGAACAAGAUUGAAGUAUGACGUCCC
Molecule: RNA transcript, 2749 nt
Organism: Quercus lobata
Lineage: Eukaryota; Viridiplantae; Streptophyta; Magnoliopsida; Fagales; Fagaceae
Gene name: O-fucosyltransferase 30-like
Exons: 3
Source: RefSeq, a predicted model, not a curated record